Nematolebias whitei (Rio pearlfish) is the source of this 393-nucleotide long non-coding RNA. RefSeq lists it as uncharacterized. The transcript is spliced from 3 exons. The record is from RefSeq and is a predicted model, not a curated record. NCBI's taxonomy places the organism in Eukaryota, Metazoa, Chordata, Actinopteri, Cyprinodontiformes, Rivulidae.
CUGCACCGGGACUUUUUUCAUCUAUCUGGUCGGACGGAACCAAGCCGCUCCUGUUCUGCAGAGCCCUUGACAGUUCUGCAGAAACUAACCAAGUCGGAAUAGAACAGAGUUGGACCAGAACCAGAGCUGUUCCUGUUCUGCAGAGCGAAACACGAGGAGAACAACAGCAGCAUGUUGAGAAUGAUGACAGCAAUGUGGCGAUGGUGAGGAAGAUGUGAGGAUGAAGAAGACGACAAAGUGUGCAGACGCUAAUGCUGAUGGUAAUGAGGGUAGAAACAAGGUCAAAGUGAGACACUGGGGGGUGUACGCAACAGAAGACAGCAGAAUGCAGCAGAGCAGCGCAACCACAGAGAGGAAGGCUUCCUCUGAGAUCUCUGAUCACACACGCAUACA